Molecule: ribosomal RNA, 503 nt
Filed under: uncultured bacterium
Lineage: Bacteria
Description: partial 16S ribosomal RNA
Rfam family: Bacterial small subunit ribosomal RNA
Source: RNAcentral
AUUGAACGCUGGCGGCAGGCUUAACACAUGCAAGUCGAGCGGGGUGAUGGUGCUUGCACUAUCACUUAGCGGCGGACGGGUGAGUAAUGCUUAGGAAUCUGCCUAUUAGUGGGGGACAACAUCUCGAAAGGGAUGCUAAUACCGCAUACGUCCUACGGGAGAAAGCAGGGGACCACUUGUGACCUUGCGCUAAUAGAUGAGCCUAAGUCGGAUUAGCUAGUUGGUGGGGUAAAGGCCUACCAAGGCGACGAUCUGUAGCGGGUCUGAGAGGAUGAUCAGCCACACUGGGACUGAGACACGGCCCAGACUCCUACGGGAGGCAGCAGUGGGGAAGAUUGGGCAAUGGGGGGAACCCUGAUCCAGCCAUGCCGCGUGUGUGAAGAAGGCCUUAUGGUUGUAAAGCACUUUAAGCGAGGAGGAGGCUCUUUUGGUUAAUACCCAAGAUGAGUGGACGUUACUCGCAGAAUAAGCACCGGCUAACUCUGUGCCAGCCGCCGCGGUAA